CCCUACCAAGGUACCUCGUAUAUAAUUCCCUCAGCUUCGGAUAACUAAUGUACCCACCAUACUCUGUACCGUAAAUUUUCUCUGCCUCCUGCUGCAACACACCCAAGUGCCUCAUCAGUAGUGCCGCCCCCUCAUGUCUCAACAUCUUCUUCCCAUGGCUCAACAUCCUCCCUUCAAUCUGAAGAUGCAUAAGACAUGCGACAUCAUCCAAAGUCACAGUCAUCUCCCCCAAGGGCAUGUGAAAAGUGUUGGUCUCGGGAUGCCACCUCUCGCAUAGAGUCAUCAGUAGAGCAUGAG
RNAcentral lists this long non-coding RNA (297 nucleotides) under Medicago truncatula (barrel medic). Its description in RNAcentral is "long non-coding RNA (MTRU_LNC003878)". The record is from RNAcentral. Lineage: Eukaryota; Viridiplantae; Streptophyta; Magnoliopsida; Fabales; Fabaceae.